RNAcentral lists this ribosomal RNA (1500 nucleotides) under hot springs metagenome. RNAcentral describes it as "bacterial LSU rRNA". It matches the Rfam family "Bacterial large subunit ribosomal RNA", at positions 522 to 1990 of the family's 2925-position model. The record is from RNAcentral.
AACCCCGGGAGGGGAGUGAAAUAGAACCUGAAACCGUGGGUUCACAAGCAAUCAAGGGACCAUCUACGCGAGUAGCGGUCUUUUGGUGUGCCUAUUGAAGCAUGAGCUGGCGACUUACGUUAUGCAGCGAGCUUAAGCCAGGAGGCGGAGGCGUAGCGAAAGCGAGUCCGAAUAGGGCGGAUAGUUGCAUGGCGUAGACUCGAAACCCAGAGAGCUAGCCCUGACCAGGCUGAAGCCGAGGUGACACUCGGUGGAGGGCCGAACCAGUUGGAGAUGCAAAUCCUUUGGAUGAGUUGGGGUUAGGAGUGAAAAGCUAACCGAUCUGGGAGAUAGCUAGUUCUCCUCGAAAUGACUUUAGGGUCAGCCUCGGAUGCUUAUUUGGGCCUGUAAAGCACUGAUAGGGCUAGGGGGCCUACCAGCCUACCAAACCCUUUCAAACUCUGAAGGGUCCGAAAUGGAGUCCGGGAGUGAGGGCACGAGUGCUAACAUCCGUGUCCAAGCGCUGGAACAACAGAGAUCGCCGAUUAAGGUCCCCAAGUGCGGGCUAAGUGGAUAAAGAUGUGGGGUUGCCCAGACAGCUAGGAGGUUGGCUUAGAAGCAGCCAUCCUUUAAAGAGUGCGUAAUAGCUCACUAGUCGAGUGACCCUGCGCUGAAAAUGAUCGGGGCUUAAGCCCGCCACCGAAAUCGCGGGUUGUGUUGGGGCCGCUCGCGGCUCCAACACAACGGUAGAGGAGCGUUCCCCAUGCCGAUGAAGCCAUACCGUGAGGAGUGGUGGAGGUACGGGAAGUGCGAAUGCCAGCAUGAGUAACGAUAAAAGAGGUGGGAAUCCUCUUCGCCGUAAACCCAAGGUUUCCUACGCGAUGGUCGUCAUCGUAGGGUUAGGCGGGGCCUAAGGAUAAGCCGAGAGGCGAGGCCGACGGACAACUGGUUAAUAUUCCAGUCCUACUACGCAGUGCGAUGGGGGGACGCUUUAGGCUAAGCGAACCGGAGCCGUGGACGAGCCCGGACAGAAACCCAAAGGGGACUAUAGGCAAAUCCGUAGUCCAGUACCGGUGGGUGGUGUGGAAGCCGCAAGGUGACAACUCGCCGAAGCCAGGGAGCCGAGAAAAGCCUCUAAGCAUAACUGCGCAGUACCCGUACCGUAAACCGACACAGGUGGGUGGGUGUCAAUGCACCAAGGCGCGCGGGAGAACCCUCGCUAAGGAACUUUGCAAUCUAGCCCCGUAACUUCGGGAGAAGGGGUGCCACGCGUAGGUGAGGGUGUACAAUCCAAGCCGAACGUGGUUGCAAUAAAGUGGCUCUAGCGACUGUUUACCAAAAACACAGGACUCUGCGAACACGCAAGUGGACGUAUAGGGUCUGACGCCUGCCCGGUGCUGGAAGGUUAACCGGAGGAGUUAGCCGCAAGGCGACGCUUUGAAGGGAAGCCCCAGUAAACGGCGGCCGUAACUAUAACGGUCCUAAGGUAGCGAAAUUCCUUGUCGGGUAAGUUCCGACCUG